GAGAUCUGAAUAGCAGAAGAGCACCAAUCUCAGGCCCCUCUCUAACUCUAAUGCUAGCCCUCUCCGCCGGGAGACACAUUGGGUAAUGACGGCGGUGAAGUCUCCUCAACAAGCAGUGGCUUCCUCAACGCUCUGUUCCAUCCAUGGAUCUCUCCUCACUCUGGCCACCCUAACCCUAAUCUCAUUUACCUACAUUUCCCUCAAAUCCCUCCACUCUCCUUUUCAUGACCCUUCCUUCAAUUCCUCGCCUCCUCCUCAGGUACUACGUCUUCACUUUUACUUCUUCGGAUGGUUCUGACUUCUCAGGCAUUUAACUGUUUUGAUUGUGUUGUUUUUGUGUGGGUGAACUGUGAAGGUGAUUAGCCGAGUGGAACAUUUGGUUGAGGAGGAGGAUUCGCCAUUUUCGGAUAUUUAUCAUUCGCCGGAGAUUUUUAGUUGAAUUAUAGGGAGAUGGAGAAGAAUUUCAAGGUGUAUAUAUAUCCUGAUGGGGAUCCCAAUACGUUUUACCAGACGCCCAGGAAGCUCACCGGCAAGUACGCCAGCGAGGGUUACUUCUUCCAGAAAUAUUCGAGAUAGUCGAUUCCGUACGAAUGAUNNNNNNNNNNNNNNNNNNNNNNNNNNNNNNNNNNNNNNNNNNNNNNNNNNNNNNNNNNNNNNNNNNNNNNNNNNNNNNNNNNNNNNNNNNNNNNNNNNNNGUCCUCUUUUCUAUUUGUUUCAUGGAAAUCCUUUCCUUCCAUCUCCCUUUUUGGUUACAAUUAAAAAAUUGCACUUCUACGGCAAAAAAAGGACUUAGGGUGCAUUUAGUAGGUAGGAAUUGGAACAGAAAUAGGAUGGUUAUAGAGGUAAACCACAAUCCCAUGCAGAAGAGAGGAAUCAAAAUCCUAUUAAAAGUGAGAUUUGGUUUUCAUAUCAAUAAAUUUUUUAUUCUCUUUCUCAUUCCAAAAAAUAAUCCAAACACCGUAUUGGAUAAGAAUGAAAUUUUCAUUCUCUAUUCCAGUGUUCUGAAUGGGAAUCCAUUGUUUUUCUUCAUGAUACAGCUACAACAAUGUCUAAAAAAAUUGAUCUUGUACGGUAUGAAUUGAUGGUAGCAAAGAUGGUCUCUCAUUUGGAAGACAAUAGCCAUAAUCUUUGUUUAUAUGAUUUUUCUAAUAUUCUUUGAUAAUAAAAUAGCAGAUAAAUAAUUCCAUUAUAAUUUAUCAUUUGAAAUAGUUAGAGAAGUUUUUUCUUUUAUAAUGAAAGAUACUAAUAUAAUAACACACAAGAUAUAAAGAAAAAACACUAAGAAUUGCUAUUAGAGCUUGGAUGAAACCAAGGUUGUUUGUUAUUGGGUUUACUAGCUAGAAAAAAAAAAGAAAAAAGAAAAAAAAAAAAGAUGAAAAAGGUUUGCUAGUCUGGACUAUAGUUACCAAUAAGAAGUUUGAUUGGAUUAACAUUUUUGGGAUAUGACAAUGCUAAUGUAUGGGAUAUCUUGUGGUAACAAUAUUUGGAUAUUACUCUUGAUAAACAAAACCCAAAGAUAUCGAUGGUAAAGAGUGGGUAAGGUUUAAUAGAAAAACAUGUAAUUUUAUUCAUUUAUGUUUUGUUAAAGCUUAGAAAACUUCACCACCAAGAAGACAUACAAAAAUCAUAUGGAAAACAUUGGACAAGUACAUGACAAACAGUUUGAAAAUUUACUUUAUUUGAAGAAGAUACCUUUUUGCUUUGAUUAUUAACUAGGUAUGUUUAUGAAUAAUCACAUGCAUGUUUGUGAUAACAUAAUAACAUAUUUGUUGGGGGUGAAGUGCCUAUCCAUCCUCAAUAAGGCUCUUUUAUGCAAAUGGAGUUGGAGGUUUGUAAUUGAGAGAUAGGCCUUUUGGAAUCAAGUGAUAAGGGGAAAGUAUGGGGAGGAGCAAAGGGAUGGUGUACUAAGGAAGUGAGGGAUGACCAUGGUGUGGGGUGGUGGAAAAUAAUUAGGAAGGAGUGGUACUUGGUAAGUAGUAGACUUUCCUUUUUGGUGGGUGAUGGACGGAGGGUGAGAUUUUGGAAGGAUAAUUGGUUUGGGGCUUUACCUUUUUGUGUUUCUUUUCCUUCAUUAUUUGCUCUAGCCGUCUCUAAGGAUGCUUGGGUGAAUGAUGUGUGGAGUUCUGCUAAUGGAGGGGGGAGUUGGAGCUUGCUUUUCUUUAGACCCUUUAAUGAUUGGGAGGUGGAUGAGGUGGACAGAUUCUUAUCGAGUCUCAAUGGGAAGAGUGUUCAGCAAGACGAGGAAGAUAGGGUGCUUUGGAAGGAGACUAAGUGCGGAAGGUUUUCUAUUAAAUCCCAAUACAAAGCCUUAGAACCAAGCUCUACAAUUUCCUUCUCAUUGAAUAUCAUUUAGAAAUCUUGUGUGCAGCCCAAAGUGAGUUUUUUUAGGAGGGAAGCAACAUGGGGAAGAGCUCUCACUUUGGAUCAAAUUCAGAAGAGAGGAUGGAUGUUAGCAAAUAGAUGUUACCUCUGUCAAAUGCAUGAAGAACCGAUAGAUUACAUCCUUCUCCAUUGUGCCAAGACAAGGACCUUAUGGGAGUUGUUUUUCACUCUUUUUGAGGUGCAGUGGGUGUUGCUUGCAUCAAUUAGGGUGACUUUUUUGGGAUGGGAUGGGUCCUUUGUGGGAAGGAAGAGGAGGGAAGUUUGGAAAGUAGGCCCCUUAUGCAUUUUUUGGACAGUUUGGAAGGCUAGGUACAAAAUUGUGUUUGAAGAUAAUGUGUUAUCCAUCCAAAGACUUAAAAGUUCUUUUGUUUAUUUUCUUUGGUUGGAGACGAAAUUGUUCAUAAAAGAUGGUCAUUCGACGUUAGUUGGUUUGUUUGAUUUGUUAAGCUCCCAUUGAGGGUGAGGUAUUUUUGUUCCUUCUUGCUUUCAACUGUUUUUGUUCUAGUUGGGUGGGGGUUGGUGUAUUUUUUUUUUUGUUUUUUUGAGUCGUUGUUUUGGUGUCUCUUUAUAAUAUGUUAUUACCUCUCUUUACUUAUAUAAAAAAAACAUAUUUAUUAAAUUUGGAUGAAAAUGUUGAAGAUGAUAAUAAAACUUUGUUCUUGUUGAUUUUUCUUUUUGGUGAGUAUAAACAUCUCACCAUUACCUUACUUUAUGGUAAGGGUAAAUGGACUUUAUGUUGUGCAUAUUGCUUUACUAAACUUUAAGUGCAGGAAGAAUGACCAAAAGAUUCAUAGGGAUGUGUUAGCAAAAGCAUUGACAUUGAGAGGUCGAUCUCAAAGCCAUAAACUUGGAAAAGUAGGCAAUUCUCGAUCUAAAGGCAAGUCUAUGAAAAAUGAAUAUACCUUUUUGGCAUGAAAAUGGACAUUAGAAGAGGAUUGUUGUAAGUUACAAAAGAAGAAUGAUGGAAAAAAUAGUCCGUAAUUAGUAUUUGUAAUGUCAUCGACAAUCCUUCUUUUAAUGCCCCUUUUCACAAUAAAAAACGUAUUCACCUUUCAAAUGUUUGCCUUUAGAUUAAGAGUUGCCUCUUACCCUUACCAUAAAAUGAGAUAACGAUGAGAUGUUUAUAGUAAUUAAGAAAAACAUAAAAAAAAAACAAAGUUUUUUAUCAUUUUAAUAAUCUCAUUCAAAUUCAACAAAGCUGUUAAAGGCGUGUAUGUGAUUAUUUAUAAACAUACCUAGUUGAUACUAAAGGUGAAAUUUUUUUUUGUUCAAAUAGAGUUAAUUUUCCAGACUCUUUGUCAUAUACUUGUCCUUCAAUGUCUUCUAUAAGAUUUUUAGAGAUGUUUCCAUCAUGAUGAAAUAUUUCUAAGCUUUAGUAAUACAUAAAUGAAUAGAACUAUAUGCUUGGUAGUAGAUCCUUGCAUUUUUUAUCAUCCAUAUCUUCUGGAUUUUCUUAAGAGUAGUAUCAAAAUUUUGUCGACAUAAGAUAGUCAACGACUCACAAUAGUACCAUAUUUCAAAAUUAUUAGCCCUAUCAAAUUUAUCGAUCUCAAAUUUUGGAUUAAGGAAGCCUCUACCAUCUUUCUUUUAGCUAGUAAACCUAAUAAUGAAUAAUUUUGAAUAGAACAAGACUUUGAUUCUAAUUUUUUUGACAAAGACUCGCAUAGUAUUAAAUAAAUGUAUUUAAUAUGAAAAAACAAAAACAAAAGUAAGACCAAAUAAUACAAACAAAAGAUGGACAUAAUACAUAUAAGGUUGGGAAAAAAUUUCUUAUCUACAUCAUGAUGGUAAUUAAUCUACUAAGUUCAAAUAAAAGAAUUAUAAAAUUUGAAGAAUGUCAAACUUGAAAGGUUUUAGUUAUCUUCAAUUUAUCUUCAUAUGACUUUGACCGAUAAAUGGGAGUUGGGGGUGUUACAAAUUUGAAUAAAAAUUACAACUUCUUGGAAAUUUCAAAAAUAGUUUUUUUUUUUUUUUUUUUACUUAGAAAACAUGUUUGAGAAUUUAUUUUGAAAAUAAACUAUUUUUUAAGAAUAAAUUUUAGGUUAGACAGGUUUUUUAAGUAAACUUUAGGUGUUUUUAGUUAUUUUUAUAAUAUUUUAUUUUGAGCAAUAAUUAAAAAUAUAAAAAUAUUUUAAAAAAAUUUGUAUUAUAGACUAAAAACAUGAAGGAAAUUAUUUUUCUUGUUUGAGUUUUCAAAUAGAAUCUUGUUCUUGAAAAUAAUUAAGAAUGGUUUUGAAAAAAAAAAAAAAAACCUUAAAGGACCAAUCAAGAAAUUAAUAUUAGUAAAUAUAUUUGGGUCUAUUUGUUAAUUGUUUUCAAAAACAAUUUUUAAGAAUAAUUUUUAAAAACUGUUAUCUAAUGUUUUAUAAAACAAAAAUUUGUUUUGAAACCUAAAGUGAUUUUAAUAUUUUCAAAAUAUAUUUUAAAAAUAAUUUUUAUAUUUAGUAUUUUAUUUUUAAUUAUUCUAUAUUUUUGUAUAAUUAUUUUUUAAAAUAGUUCUAAAAAAACAUGUGAAAACAAUAGAAAACAACUAAAAAAUAUUCUCUAAAAUACCAUGUUUUCUAUUUUAAAGAACACAAAAUAGAAAAUAAUUUUUGGUUGGUAAAUGUAUUUUUAUUUUUUAUUUUAUUUUAAAGAAUAUAAAACUAUUCUUGAAAAUAGUUAUAAAAAAGACCCUUGUUUCAUUUUCUUCUAAUUUUAAACCGUCUUUUUUCAUUUGUUCAUACAAUUGUAUAUUAUCUUUUGAUCAAAAUAGAUAAAUACUUAAAAUAUAAAAUUUAUAUUCGAAUUAAUUUCUUUUUUAAUAAGGAAUUCAUUUCUUGUUUACAAUAUUUUAAGAUUUUUCCAUUCAUUUGUUUUGAUCUAGGUUUGGUAGGUAUGUUUAUCUAUUUAUUUAUAUCAUUACUUUGUAAUAUAUCUUAUGAGCUUGUUCAACAAAGUUCAUAUUUUUUGUCUUUAUAUUUAGAUUUAAGUUUGACAAAAUACUAAUACCAUUUAAAUUCAUCAAGAAGUUUGAAAAAAUGGUUAAAAUAAACAAGAUUAUUUUAAAUUAUAUUAUGACUAUUGUUUGAGCUUGUUGAACAAAGUUUAUAUUUUUUGUCCGUAUAUUUAGGUUUAAGCUUGACAAAAUGCUAGGAUCAUUUAAAUUAAUCGAGAAGUUUGAAAAAAUAGUUAAAAUAAACAAGAUUAUUUGUAAGAACAAAAUCAGAAAAUCUUGAAACUCUUGACAUUUCUUAAACAAACAAAUGUUGGAGUAUCUAAUCUUAACAUUUGUGUCAAUGUCGGUGAUAUUUUGCAUCAUUUUUGAAGCAUCUGUUUUCGAAGCCAAAGACAAAUUUAAAUAUAUUUUUGGAUUAAAUUUCCGAAAAUUAAAAAUAAAAUAAUAAAAUUUUGGAAAAAGUGAAGAGUGUAGUGGAGGGAAAGAGGUCUGAACAGAAAGGACAGCUUGUUUCGUGAUCUCGAAUAGAUCUUGCAAGAAAAUUGCAUCAUUUUCAUUUUUUUUUUUUUUAAUGUCCGAAAUUUAUGAGUAAUUUUUUAUUUUUUUAAAAAUAAUUUCGGGGCUUAUUGGAUCACUUGAGAUCUGAAUAGCAGAAGAGCACCAAUCUCAGGCCCCUCUCUAACUCUAAUGCUAGCCCUCUCCGCCGGGAGACACAUUGGGUAAUGACGGCGGUGAAGUCUCCUCAACAAGCAGUGGCUUCCUCAACGCUCUGUUCCAUCCAUGGAUCUCUCCUCACUCUGGCCACCCUAACCCUAAUCUCAUUUACCUACAUUUCCCUCAAAUCCCUCCACUCUCCUUUUCAUGACCCUUCCUUCAAUUCCUCGCCUCCUCCUCAGGUACUACGUCUUCACUUUUACUUCUUCGGAUGGUUCUGACUUCUCAGGCAUUUAACUGUUUUGAUUGUGUUGUUUUUGUGUGGGUGAACUGUGAAGGUGAUUAGCCGAGUGGAACAUUUGGUUGAGGAGGAGGAUUCGCCAUUUUCGGAUAUUUAUCAUUCGCCGGAGAUUUUUAGGUUGAAUUAUAGGGAGAUGGAGAAGAAUUUCAAGGUGUAUAUAUAUCCUGAUGGGGAUCCCAAUACGUUUUACCAGACGCCCAGGAAGCUCACCGGCAAGUACGCCAGCGAGGGUUACUUCUUCCAGAAUAUUCGAGAUAGUCGAUUCCGUACGAAUGAUCCGGAUCAGGCUCACCUCUUCUUCAUUCCGAUCUCGUGUCAUAAGAUGCGAGGGAAGGUGAGGAUUUGGUCUCUGUUGUGUGUUGAGAAGAUGGGUACUUUGCAUUCUAACUCUUGUUUGAUUGCAUUUGCAUUUUGUAAUUCAUUACCAUGUUCUACAAUCCUAAUGCGUUGAACUCACUGAGUAUUUUCAUACUGAUAGAUUAGGACGGUAAUAGAGUGAACUCAGUGGGUCUUUUAUAAUGAUUUAUCAGUAUGGUAGCAGAGUUUUAGGCAAUUGUAGGCCUCCGGCAUUAACAUAUGGCUAAUUAGGCGGAGAGCUGAACUUGGACAUUCGUUCAGUUUAGUCCUGUUUCAGUCAAGUAGCACUGUUACACACAUUAUGAGCAAUUGCCAGAGUACUUCCCUGGUCUUAUUUCCUUGAUUUUAUUGUUUUGCCAUAUUUCUUUUCUAUGGGCAUUUCCUUUUGUUGACAAGAAUUGUAUUGCCUAGUAUAUUUGUUUAACUGCUAAUGUUUAUCUUUGAAGAUGUGCCCUUUAGUGAGUAUUGAUGGGCUUGCAAUUCAUUCUCACAUGGGCAUGAUAUUUCAAUGUGAGACACAGAUAUUAACAGACUACUUUGCAGCGUGUUUAGAUCUGAUUAGGAAUGCUUCUUCUCCUAUACAAGAUCUGGGUCCUUUCUAUAUUGGUAACAAGUUUGUAUGGUUGUAUCCAGGGCACAUCAUAUGAGAACAUGACUGUAAUUGUCCAGAAUUAUGUGGGGAGCUUAAUAUCCAAGUAUCCUUACUGGAAUAGAACCCUGGGUGCUGAUCAUUUUUUUGUUACUUGUCAUGAUGUUGGUGUGAGGGCAACUGAAGGAGUUCCAUUUCUGGUAAAGAAUUCAAUUCGAGUUGUGUGCUCUCCAAGUUAUGAUGUUGGAUUCAUUCCGCACAAAGAUGUUGCUCUCCCUCAAGUAUUGCAACCUUUUGCUCUUCCUGCUGGAGGAAAUGAUAUAGAAAACAGGUAACAUCUUCAACCUUUUGUUACUUUAUUAUAUAUAUUUUUUACAUGUAGUUUUAGAAUCUUAGCUAAAGAAUUGUGAGGUGUAACUCUCCCUUUUUGGAUUCCAUUUCCCAUUUUGUUCAAUUAUUUGUAAUCCAUUUCAGUUAUUCAAGCUGUGGCAAAUAAACUACAAAUUUUACCUCCCUUAGCUUCCCAAGGUGUUUCUGGAAAUAAAAAUUCAAUUUGAUGGUUAACUGGUGGUGUUUGUUUUUUUGGCUUUUUGCUUAAAACAAUUUGUUUUCAGAAUUUAGGUUGUUUGUUUUUCUACUUUUUCAUGACUUGUUAUAAACUUUUUACUAAAUAGAAAAAGCUAAAAUAUGUAACUUUUUCUAAAUAGAAAAAAUAACAUAUUGGUUUUUCUUUAUUUUUUAAUACUUAAUAGAAAUAAAAUACUACAAAAACAAACAACCUAAUAUUUAACACUAUUAAGCAUUAAGGUUCUAUUUAGAAUUAAGUAAAAAAACAAACACCACCAUAAUGCAUUCUGUGUUUACUGAUUCAAGUUUUAGCAUAGCAAUGUGCUUUAAGAAAAAAGAACUUCAGGAAGAACAACAUUCUCAUGUUUGCUACUGACAUGAUAUCUGGCACGCCAUUGGCAUUGGCUUUUCGGUUUGCCAGUGAUCUUGUUUCACAUUGAUCAAUAUCUACCCUUCAAGAGUUGAGUAAAACUUUGUUUGAAUUAUACUAUCAUUCAUGGGAAAUCUGUAAUCUUGUUUGGGGUUGGACUUUCUAUUUUGUUCCAACAUCAAUCCUCCAAUUUACAAGGUUUUAAAAAUUAAAAUAUUAAAGGAUACAAUUUUCAACUAAAAUUAUGGGUUAGACUUUGGUAGAUUUAAUUUCUAUAUAUAUACAUAUAUAUAAUAAAAAAGAAAAAGAGAAAAGAAAAACCUCAAGCUCUGGAAAAGGAGGAUGUUUAUGGACCUUACGGUUACAUUGCCUGAACCUUGGGAAGUGAAAAGCCAACACCAAAUAUACAGGGUUGAAACUUUAUUGAGUUGAAUUGUGGAUUUUUAGAUUGUGGUUCAGGUGGUAUGGAUCCUUGAUACAAAGUUGUGUAUCAUAUAAUAUUUGACAUGUUUUGAGACAACUAGCCUACUUCUUGUCUAUAUGUUGUGUUCUUAUUGCAUAUGAAUAACUGUUUGUUUGCCUAAUUGCCUUCUAUAGGCUGUUGUAAUUUAGCAUGUUUCUCAUACAACGAAUUGAAUGUAAGUUUUAUGUGGAUGGAAAGAUCCCAGUUAUGAGAUUAUUGCCUAAAAUUGAGAAGCAUACUUUGCAGGACAACUCUUGGCUUUUGGGCUGGUCAUCGGAACUCCAAAAUUAGAGUUAUACUAGCACGUGUAUGGGAGAAUGACACUGAACUUGACAUUAUGAACAACAGAAUAAAUAGAGCUGCUGGAGAGCUUCUAUAUCAAAAAAGAUUUUACAGGACUAAGUUCUGCAUAUGCCCAGGAGGUUCCCAGGUCAACAGUGCUCGCAUAGCAGAUUCAAUCCAUUAUGGAUGUGUUCCUGGUAAGAUUUCUUUUCUUCUUCGGUGAUGAGCUAUGAAGUGGUUUGUGUUCCAUCCUAUCUAAUUGUAAAUUGACAAUAUGGUAAGUGUGGAUUGUUACCCAAUUCCUGGACACCUAUGAAAAUGGAUGAAUCAACAAAAAUGAAACAACAUAACAAGACUAUGUUCUUCAACAUUCAUCCCAUGCCAUGGAGGAGAUAAGAAUAAUUUGGUCUCGCUAGAAUUGGUUGCAAUGAUUUCACCUCAAUUCCCAAAAAAAUUGGCACCUCUCCACCUACCCCUAAACCCAUCCAGUCACCUGGACAACAUAAAUAAUGGAAAGAAAGACCUGAAGAUACUCUAGGAAUCCUGUGUCACUAACCCUGAUUGGGAAUCUGCGUCUAUUUACCCUCUAGUUAGCAAAUGCUGGUAGGCUAGCUUGUGAGACAACAUGAUGGUUUUGUGGAACAUUCAGGCUGAACAUGUUUUAGGAGCGACAGCAGAACUUUGGAAUGCCUCUGAUGCAGUAACAGAGGGCUAAAGCCUUAAUAUCAUCAUAAAUUAGCUAUGCUACAUAGCAUAAAGCACAAUGAUAUCAAGGGGUCCUUUAAAAUAGUCAACUGUUUUUUUGGUUGAGUACUCUGCCUCUGCCUCAAGUUAUGGACUUUCAACGUAAAUGAAACUUUAUUGCUGUUUUGCAUGAAUGCAUAGAAAAUUUCCCAUCUUUCAGAAAUUAGAAUUCAUCCUUAUUCUUUUUAUAUUAAAAGGGCAUUUACUAGUAUCGAUAAUCAAUGGGUUAUAUAUGGUCCUAACAUUAGGAGGCAAUGUGUUAGAUAUGGUCCUAAGCAUGCAUUUUUUGCCAAAAAGUGCCCUUCCUCGAGAUUUGAAAUUCAUUUAACUAGCUCAAUGCCAAACUGUGGAGGUGCAGUUACAAACCCACUGGAGUGUGUUACCAGAGUUGAGGUUUUGCAAUGUAAUUGUCUGUCACACUUGAAAUUUGGAAUUUUUUUCCCUCUGGCAUGUUACUUCUUGCAAUAACACGUCUCUGCAAUUGUUUUUUCUGAGUAAUUUGGGUGAUUUUCAUGCAGUGAUAUUGUCCAAUUAUUAUGACCUGCCAUUUAAUGACAUCCUUGAUUGGCGAAAAUUUUCGGUCGUACUCAAGGAGCUUGAUGUAUACCAGCUUAAACAAAUCCUCAAGGACAUACCUGAUGCAGAAUUUGUUGCACUGCAUAACAACUUGGUCCAGGUAGAACCUUCCCAUUACAACUUAAAGAAUUUAAAUUGUGUAGUAAAUUUAUGAUAGCCUUUCAUUCCUCGGAUGAUUAAAUUUCUGCCUGCUUGUAAUUUCCUUUCUUUUAAGAAAAAAAAUUAAUUCCCUUUUUUUGUGUAAGAAGUGUUUAAGCUGUAUUUCUUUUGUUUAGCACUGCUUUGGUUUUUGUCUUCAUAAAUAAAAGAUAAAAGAACCCAAUUAAUGGUUGCUAUUAGGAGUUGAAGUGUGCUCUCCUUUUUGUUUCCCUUUUUUCAUGUUUUCUUUGACAUGAAGAGUAGUUGCAUUAAGAUCUACAUGAAUAGAAUAAACAUCAAUUCCUCAACAAGAACGUGCAGUCAAUGAUGAGAAUUUAUUUUGGCAUAUAUCUACAGGUCCAGAAGCACUUCCAAUGGAAUUCACCUCCCAUCAGAUAUGAUGCAUUCCAUAUGAUCAUGUAUGAGCUCUGGUUGCGCCACCAAGUGAUUAAGUAUUGAUAUAAUGAAUAUAAUUCUGGUCCCUUGAUGUCAAUUAAUAUCUUGUAAAUUGACAUAGUUCUUCUGUCAAAAUCUGUGUUCUAAGUAUUGAUAGGUCAAUUUUAUAGUUUUCUUUUUCUGUGUAAUCAUUCUUUUUGCAAUAACCUCUCUGCCAAAAAGGAAAAAAAGGUUCUGCUAUGUUAUAUUAAUGUUUUGCAAUCAUUUGUCUGCUUUGCUUACUCCCAUUAUGCAAUUUCACAAAGCUUCAGAGACUUUAUUCCUGAUAUUCACAUAGAAGAGGUAAAACUAUUAUUAUGCAUAAGCAAUAUCUACUACUUCAAUCUCAUGGGCUCUCUGGGUGCUACUAAAAUUUGUUCCUCCCUCAAGCCCAGUGGUGUCAGUUGUAGGGGUAUUGUUUGUCGACUGUUGGGGGCCCCUAGUAGAAGAAUCAGAGGAUUCUCUUUUUGUCGUCAAAUAGACCAACAUUGCAGCAUACAGCAUCAUUACUGGAAAAAUCACAACUCCUGCAAGGAUUGAUCCUGUCUUCGGUAUAUCGUUAUUUGUCAUCCAUCCUAUUAAACUUGAACUUAAGAAGUAUAUGUUGAUACCAAUUGAGCCAAACCCCAAGAGCCACGAGAGUAAGGUUACCUAUCAUCGAAGGGAGAUUUGAUGAUGGGAUGGCUGUUCAGAAAAUUGCUUUCUACGCAUAUAUAGAGCUAAUAACUGGCAAAUAGUGCUUAAAAUUAAGAUCUCACCAUUAUGGAGCUUCUAUGAGCGCCCAUCUUAGCUUUACUACUUGUGAAUCGGAGGAGAGGAAUCAGUGCAAAUGGUAGCUCGAAGGAUAAGAUCAUCUGGACUCACAAAGUAAUGAAACAGUCAAUGUUCAUUCUUGUAGGGAAAGUUUACUUUUUUUUUUUGUUUUUGGGUGUUGGGCUUGACUUACGGAAGCAAUGAUAAUCAGCCUUGCAGCUCCGGAAGAUCCACCUAUGAUGCAGACCAUUAAGCUUGGAGCAAUGGCUAUGCACCGGGUGACCAAAUUUCUUAACCAAAGCCUCAUUUUCAAAUCUAGAAAACCCUGUAAAACAAAACAUUAUAAAGUGUUUUCAAAAAUCAUUCCCACCACCAAGCUUCACCUUCAGAGGGGGAAAAUGCCAGCAGACAGUGAUAUCAGAGUACUUAAUAGCUCCCUGAUUCAGAUAUAAAUUAAUAAAGAGUACCUGCAUAAUAUACUGGCCAGCGUAGGUUCCAGUAACAGUUGAACUCUGACCAGAUGCAAGCAAGGACACGGCAUAUAGCUUGGAACUCCAGUUUCCGAGAGCAUUCUGUAUUAAUAAUUUAGUACAUUAACACUGAGCUCUCAGAUCAUGCUCCAUACAGAAAGAAAAGAAUAGUUGGAAUUAUGACCAGGAAAGCUGUUUUAUACGAACAUUAAGUAAGAAAGAUGCGGACUCGAGAGUGAUGUCCUCGCAAUGAUCCUUGUUUUGUGAAGAAGCAUGUGGAUUGGAGCAGACGCUGCCGCUCACAGAUACAACGGCCACGUUUAUAAGAAGUGCGAUGAAAAGGGCUAGCCCGCUUUCAAUGAUGAAGUACUUGCUCGCACUCUGACCACGAAUUUGGUGUUACUAAAUGGUUAGUUGGUUAAGACUUAAAUGUAUAUUGGAAGGUUGAAGUUCUCACCCUGAUGGCAUGAAAGGAGUGGGGGAUUUUCCUUGAGGUGACCAGUGCUGAAUGAAGAAAUAGAUUGUGCCUGCACCAUUAGAGAAGUCCUUUCCACGUCACAUUCAUUAUUCACCCCAAUAAAAGCAGGGUGAGCCUACAGUAAAAUAGUGUGUUUCAAUUCAAUCUCAUGUUGGAAAAUUAAUUGGAUCAAAAUAAUUAUUUGAUUAAACUAUUUUUCAAGUUGACCAGAUGGUCAACCUGGACCAAGUAUCUACCUGAAUAUGAUUAAACCCUUUUUGAAUAUGACCAACUUAUUGCCCAAUUAUUGUGAUCCAAAUUCUCUCGUACAAGUAUAACUAGGAUGUUUGUGACCAAUCCCAACAAAUUAAAUGGUAAUUAGGUUUAACUACCAGACCUGGUCCCACGCCAAUAAAUUGGCGAAGGUGUCUUUUCAGCCCAAGAAAUGUCUAGUCAUUAUAGCAUGGCCCAUGAAGCUCAAAUAGUGAGCCUGGAAUGGACACACCCUCAAGUUAUGCUUCUUAAAAUUGAGAAGUAAUAAAAGUAGGGAUAAUCUUGUAUGCUAGCUUCUCCAGAUCGAGAAUUAAGAAUGGGAGGAAGAUGAUGAAAAUUACGGCAUGAUGAGAGCUCCUAAAAGAGCGAUGGCAUCUCUGGUGGCUCCAUCACCAUUCAAUUUAGGGACGAACAUUCCGGUGACAACGUCCUUUGCACUAGGUCUGGCAUGUACCAUCACACUGCAGAAGCAGCCGCCCACUACUAAUACCAAUCCCCCGAUCGCCACCUCCAGCUUCCUUAUCUAUCAUUCAUAUUGUUUGAGGAUACAAAAAGGUAAGCUUUGAGAUUUAAAACUAUUAAUCAAGAAAUAAAUGAUAAAACAAAAAAAGAAAAAGGAUGAGACUUGAUCAGUGCCACUCACACCAUAUCUCUGUAGUCCAAGGAGGAGAAGGGUACUCAAACCAGCCAGAAGAACACCGCCCCAUAUGGGUACGUGGAAGAGUAUGUUGAUAGCAAAUGCCGUUCCUAUCACUGCAAUAAAACCCCCAAUCAAAAUCCUAGAGUAAUAUCCUACCCUGCUUCACAAACUAUGUACUUCCAUCUGUUUAUAUUUCCUUUCCGAAGCAUCCAAACCUUCUGGGAUGUCAGCUGCGAUGACUGCGACCUCAGCAAGUAUCCAAAGGCAAUAAUUCACCGGCUUCGGGUACUCCAUCCUGCAGUGCUCCGAGAGAUGCUUCCCUGUAUGUAAACGUAAGUAAUAUAUAUGUACUGCAGAUCAUGGGGUUUGUUUUAAAUGUCAAAAAGAGCUAGUUGGACUGGCAUGCUGGUCAAAGAUAAAAAAACAAGAGAAAAAAAAGGUUGCAUGGUUAAAAGUAACUGUGUCUGAUCUGUAUCAUCCUCCAAAUCUUGGAGGGUUCUGAUUAAGGAUUACGACCUUUGUGAGCAUGUAUUUGCAUGGAAGCCUGUAGAACAUGCAAAUACCUUUUUGUCCUAUAAAUAUAGAAACAACCUGUUACCUGUAGCCACUCCUAGAUUUGCUGAACGGGACUGUAUGAUGAAGGCGAAGAUCAGCCCAACAAGCACGAUCCACAACAGCUGUAUAUAAGCAGCUCGAUUUAAAAUUUGUCCAUGAAUAUGUGUGUGUGAGGGAAAACAGUAGUGGGAGGAAGGAGAAGGAGAAGAUGACCUCGUAUUUGUGGUUAGCACCAGCUUGUAAAUCUGUCUCCACUGCAUUUGCACAGCAAUUUACAAAGCAAAAAAGAGAAAAAAAAAAAAUGUAAUGUUAGCUAUGACAGCAGUCCUGAUGAAGAAUACAACACACAAUCUUUUAGAAUAACAGAUUACAGAGAGAGAGCUAACAGUUUCCAGGAUCUAGAUAAGCGACAGAGACCAGAAAACCCGGUCCUACAUAACUCAAGAGCUUCUUCCAUAGGGGGGUCUCUUGAAUCUGAACCAGAGCCAUGUGCCUCCUCAAGCUUCUCCUAACUCAAUUAUGUUAUGUAUUAAAUUUCAUGGAGUUGGAUCUUUAUAGAGCGACCCACGGAGAAGAGUACAUGCGGUACAAACAUUGAGCUGCCCCCUCCAUCUGGAAUUUCAAAUCAAACAUUAAAUUGGUGGUUGGAUUUUGUUAUCAUUAUAUGGACGUGUCACACAUGUUUAAAGGGCAUACUCACAACCCCAUUCGUCAUGCACUGAUGAAUUAUUGCAUGUACAGUUUUGAACUUCCCACGAUUGGGCAAUUGGGGAGCAAUCAACAUCAUCAGUCUCUCUGAUGCCAAACAACUCUACACUUAUAUGUACCCCUGGUUCUAACCCAAACCUCUUUUAAUUUUCCUUGCCAUAAUCAUGCCUUCGUUUUGCGUCUCCUUAGAUUUUAUUACUUCAUACGACGCCUUUAAUAAGUCAUUAUCAAAAUAAUAUAUAUGUAAUGAUUCAAUCCUAACCUAUAGUAAACAUAUUAUUUGUUUUGGUCCAUUGAGCUCUUCAACCUCUUCUCUUUUACAUGGUUUAGAGGAGUCUAUCCAAACAACUCCACACUUAUAUGUACCCCUGGCUCUAACCCAAACCUCUUUUAAUUUUCCUUGCUAUAAUCAUGCCUUCAUUUUGCGUCUCAUUCGAUGACCCCUUUGAUAAGUCGUUAUCAAAAUAACAUGUAAUGAUUAACAUAAUAUUCGUUUUGAUCCAUUGAGCUCUUCAACCUCUUCUCUUUUGCAUGGUUUAGAGGAGUCUAUUACACAUGUAAGAUGGAAAAUUUUCUCCAAAUUAAUAUAAAAUAUCGCAAUCAUACUCCUCGGGAAAAAACAUUAUCCCCAUCGUGUCCUAUGGGUUGUGUCAUUGUACUCUGAGUGUGGGACUAAGCCUUGUGGAACUAAAUAUAUAAAUAGACAUUCUUACAAUGUUAGACACAUAAACACCCUUUAUAGGAUCAAAUAAAUAAACUUCAAUAAUGAAAUCAUAGAUUUGACUAUAAUAUCAUUUAUAAUAACUUGUUCUUCUUAUAUAGAUAUUAUUUGUUUUAAAUUUAAUAAGUCGUCAUAGUUUUAAAACAUGUCUAUCUAAUUAAUUAGAGUUAUUACAUAUGCAGGACCAAAAACUUAUUCUCUUAACCAAUGUUAGAUAUCACAAUAUCUUUUACUACCAAUCUCAACUAUCAAGACCAUGUUAACUACCUUUGAGUACACCUCUAAAUUCAAAACAAAAAGUUUAUUGUAUAAAUAAGAUCGGAACAAAACAAAAGAAGUUUGGUAAACUUGACUUUAUACAUGACUAGUGACAUAUUACCUUAUAUCAUCUGGGUAAACUCAGUGUUCUUGUAGGUUGAAUACUCUUAAGAAAAUAGUUCCUAUAUAAAUCUUCUUUAAAAUGAUCCGAAACAAUAAGGCCUUGACAUCUUGAAAUCCUUUUUCUCCAACUUCCACAAAAGCUCUACCUUUCCUUCUUGUAUGAAAGUGGUGACGGUUAUUUUUUUAUCCUUAGAGUAGCUCAAAGUUUUGACUAAAACACAAUCUCUUUAUUAUAUCAUAUGAGAUUGUGUGGGGUUAGAUGUAAUAAACACUCCCUUCAAACCAUUUAAAGUGUGUUUGACAGUAAUUAUAAGAAGUGUUUUUAAUAUUUGAAGAAUAAAAAUUUUCAAGCGUUACAAAUGUUAGAAACAUUUCAUAGAAUCACUACCAAACACACUCUUAUUAUAACUUGUUCUCUCCUAUAUAUAGAUACUAUUAUUUUGUGUCUAAUAUAUCAUCAAGACUUUAAAACUUGUUUAUCUAAUUUGAAGAAAUCUACUAUAUAUAGUAUUAAGAAUUUCUCUCAUUAUUUGAUGUGAGAUAUUAUAUAGUCCUACUUCUAUUCAAAAACAUAUUUGAACUAUUUUAAGUGAAAAUUUAAAAUUUGAGUAAAAAUUUCUGAAUAAGCAAUUACACACCCAAUCUUAUAUCUCCAUGGAUUGCUCAUGUUAAAACCAAUCCUAGGUCUCUCUUGUGUACCAUGAAUGCACGCUUUCUAGUAGAUUUCCAUGAGUUGAAGUAUUCAUAUUUGAUAAUUUUCAUCUUUAAAGAUCUUUUAUGGAUAGACCACAUUUAUAACUAACUAACUUCACAUUCGAUUAAAAUUUUACUUGCAAUCCUCUUUUACAUUUCAAUUUUUUUGCAUCAUCUUUAUAUCCAAUCUUCAAUCUUCAAUCUUUUUCUAAACUCUUUUAAAAAUAUUUUCUUUUUUCCUUUUUAGAAUUCUCCCCCCCCUAACUUUAUGUAAAUUUUUGUGUCAAUGGAACUCUAAUUAUACCAUGCAUUAGUAUAUAUAUAUAUAUAUAUAUAUAUAUAUUAUUCUUCAAAAAAUAAAAUAAAAUGGAUGAGGCCAGGCAGUAAAAGAAUUGCCGACAACAUACAUGGCUGACAUUUAACAGAUGAUUUGAGAAGGAGUGAAACAACGAACCAUACGGCUACGAAAACAAAAGUUGGAUAAAUUUAAUGCAAAAAUUAUUCAAACAUAAAGUCGCUAUCUACAUAAAAUAAUUGAUGGGGUGAGUAUCAACUAUGAUGUUACAGGACUGGAGGAUGCUUCGUUUUCAAAAUAAAUUGCUUACGCAUCCUACUUCUUGUCCUCCUAGACCUGCUACAAUUGGGACCAUGAUGUAAAUAAUUCCUGAGCUGGAGUAUAUCUCCCAUGGAAUGUUAAAAGUUCACACUUUUUAUUCAAAGUGUUGCCAAAAUUUGAUAACAUUCGACAUUGAUUCUAACAUUUUACACUUGGGAGUUCUCUAAUUACGAUUAAUUUUGUGCCACAAAAUGUUCCUAAGCAGUUGUAGCAAGGGAGAUGAGAUGAUUGAUAAAAGUAGAAACACUCAUGGUGAGUGAUAUCACUAUGUUCUCAUGUAGGGCAGAACAUUUCUUAUAUACAACAGCAAUGCUGGUAGAGCAAGAAGUCCGGGAGUUGUUUCGAUUAAAUGCCAUAAAGGUGAUACGGUUUGUAGGACAGCACUGCUAGUGCUGACCAAACUUGGAGGUACUGAGUUGGAAGGAUACCAGUUUAUGGGUGGUGUCCGGUCAAUGUCUCCUCCUUUUAGGUAUGUAGGGUUACUUUAGUUUUUACUUUUUACAUCACCGUAGAGGCUAGCUAUUUCAUCUUAUAAAAUAUCUUUGAUAUUUUACUUUAGUUAUUACCAAAAACAAAGCAAGAUUUUGAGGUUUUACAUGGAAUUGGAAAAUAUGCCCAAACCCAACAAAUUUUCUUGGAAAGAAUAAUAAUCUAUGAGGAAAUCUUUGUAAUGCCUUUGAAAAAUAAUUCGAUAAAACAGGAAAAAGGAAGAAAAAAAAACAAAAAUACAAAACCCUGAUGCCUGGGCUCAUGAUCAGGUGAGAAAUUGAGAUGGACGUGAAGCUAGAUUCCACCCACAUGAAACCAUUCCAAAAAAGCAAUAAUAGCAUUCAAGGUACAUGGAUUGUUGAAUGCUAACCUCACAUUCAGAUUUGAGAUGACAAUGGGAGAUACCACCCGUCCGUGCAUAUUGGAUUGAGUUUAAUUUUAAUAAAUGAAUUUGAAAUUUUUUUAAAAAAUCCGAGGCAAAUUCGGAUAUCGCCCUGCCCUUCCCCCACCUCGUCCUUCCCUAAUUAUAUAUAAAAUUAAAAUUUUAAUUAAAUUUAAUUUAAAAUUUAAAAUUAAUUUAAUUUAAAUUUUAUUUUAUUAUUUUUAAUAUAUAGAUAAUAAAAAAAUAUUUUUAAUAAAAUAAGUUAUAAAAAAUAUAAUAAUUUAAUUAUUUAUAAAAUAUAUUUAUUUUAAUAUAAUUAAAAAUUUUAAAAAUAAUUUUUUUUAAAAAAAUUUUAAAUUCAAAAAAAGUUAAACCGGACAGAUACGAGAAUUUAUCAUACCACCUUGUCCCGUCCCAUCCCGUUUAAUUUUUUAAAUGGGACGGAGAUGAGAAUUAUUUCAAAUAAAUGAGACGGGGUUGGGAUGAGGACAACCCGUCUUGAACCCACACCAUUGCCAUCCUAAUUCAGAUAAAACUAAUGUUAUAAUAUUUCUGUGGCUGCAUUGCCUGCUUUUUUUUCUCCUUUUUUCAUAUUUGAAUUGGAAUUGAGGUGAAAGUGUCAUUCUUUGAUUUCUUUUUAUUCAAACAAAGUACCUUUUUCCAGGAAGAAACAAACAAGCCUAAGGCCACCCAUGAUAUAAAAAGACAUUUACUGUUACCUUAGUAACAUAGGCCACCCCAAAGGCCUUGGCUAUUAACCCACCGAUGUCCAAAUCUCUAGCCUUUUUUAUAGACCCAGCUAUCUAUGUCCGUUAGCCCAUAUGGGACCACUUCUACAGAUUUCCAAAUUUGACCUACACCUAACCCCUCCCACUCAAAUUGGGACGACCUAGGGCUAACCCAAUUAAUAAUGAGUUCAAUUUGACCAACCCAUUGCAAAUGAAUUUAAUAAGGCCUGGCUCUGAUGAACCCUGGGCCAGCUAGGCCCAUGCCACACCCACUCCGAAAUCUAAACCAUCAUUUUGGGCCCUUUGUUAACUGGGUCAGCCCCAUACAUCCUCCAUCUAGAUACAAAAUUCAUCGGUUUCAUCUCAGCCCAUGUCUCCAACUAGCAAAGGAUAAGGGAAAAAGCUUAAUAGUUAAUAUACUUGGUAGAAAUGGCAAAUACUCCAAAAGCAAUAAUCCGAUAACAGGCAUCUUUUGUGAAACAUUUCUUCAGUGGAAGUGACAACAAGAUCCUUUUUCUAACUCCAACUAUCAAUUCUGAUAUACAUACCCGAACUCUUCAAGACAUCUCUUCUCUUAUCCUAUUUCAUUGUCCAUUCCUCCAUCUUUCAUUCACCAACUUAAAACAAAAAUGCCAGAUAUAAAAGGUUAGUAUUCCAAAGCAUCCACUGAAGUUCACAAAGCAAUAAAAAUAUUUCUGUGAGCGCUAUUGAAGUGUACAAAACAAAAAUUGUUUUGUAUUAAUUACCGUGUGGCAGUGGGGCAACCAAAUUUAAAAAUUGAAAGGGAGGAUGAAUGAGUCAGUUUCCAAUCGUAACACAAGGGUAGUGCUUGGAGCUGACCAAUUAGGGCUGAGAACGUGGGAGAGCAUGGAACAAAGUCUUGGCAUCUAAGAGAGAACCCUAGGACGAAGGAUUGGUGCUCCAUAGGUGUGAGAAAUAUCUUGAAAAGGGACAGGCACUGAGUUGGCCUAGUGGAAAGUGAAUUGAUCCAAUAGAGCGCAUAAUCAUUGGGUGAUGGUGCGGCUGAUGUGACUGGGGUGAUUUUGUCUGAUUGGCAACCCUGAGGUAUCCGAGGCCAGUGCUCCAGUUAGAGCAUACGACAAAGUUGUACAAAAUUUCAAUUGAACUUUAGUCAUAUUUUCCUCCCAAAUUCUCUCUCUGUUUUUAGCUGAUUAUUUUACCCAAAAAUAACUUGGAAAUUCAAGUAUUUCGAGGCUAAGAAUGAAUUUUAUAACUGCAUGUGAAGGCCCUGAAUGAAGAGAAAAAAGACAAGGGAGCGGCACACAGGUAUCUGGAUUGGUGGCCGUUCGUUAGAUGCUGUGAGCAGGCCAAAUCCAAUAUCUGAAAUCCCUUCCAUUGCAUGCCCACGCGCGAAACGAGUAUCUCUUUCUCAUGGAGGACCCAGACACCACCCAAUCUUUUCUGUACUUGCGUGAAGCCGCCACAGGAGCUCCAACACUUCUCUUAAUCAUCAAAUUACAUCUCCGGAUGAGUGCUGGACCAUUUUUGCUUCUAGUGGCAAUUAGAUUUAUCCCAGGAAAAACUUUUGUGCCCGCCUUGUAGGCCCAAAUUUGUGACACCCAGUUGGGUUUAGGUUUGAGAUUUGAAACCAUGAACUUCAAACUAGUUUUAGAGGUUUUGUCACCACGCCCCAUGAAGUUUAUGUGCUGUAAAUUGUGAUCAGACCAUUGCAAAUAGGGAUGAUAAUGACACAGUGUUUUUAAAGUACUCAAUGUUUGAAAUUUAAAAACUAGUUUCAAUAAAAUAAGUUAUAAAAUAUUAUUAAGAAUUAAAAAAAAAAAUUAAAUAGCUUAGACAAUAUAAAAAAACUUUCAUAUACGGACUGGGAAUUACUUUCGAUAAACCCUUGUCACAAGCUCGUCCUGAUGUCCGGAGGAUACCUUCAUUUUCUUAUCUUCUUUGUUAACAUUUUAAAAUAUCAUGGUUAUCAUUUUAUUCCCUUCCAGGGACCAAAGAUUCUAGUCCUUGCAGGCGUCAACAACAACAUCAAUUAUCCAAACUCCACUGUUGAGGCCUUGCGUCCCUGGUGAUCCACGUAAGUGCCAAAUGGAUGGACGCACGAUCUCAACUAAUAUAGAUUCUUGAUUCAAUCGUGGUACCUGCAAAAGGCGUCCGGACGGGGUGUCCGGACGCACCCUCCGAUGGUUUUGUCAGCCAUGGUUAGAGAGAUGGAGAUAAAUCAAUUGACCUUUUACUAGGUACAACAAGCUUACCUUCCUCUUUGUGUGAAGGUUCGUAUAUAUAGUAUCAGGAGCUUUGUUCCCCUUUUUAAUAGUGAGAAGAUAUUUUGUGUUGUCAUGAUGAUAUUAGGUGGUGUCAGGGCCAUCAUCACCCUAUGGGCGGCUGACAGAGAUCGUGAUGGGUGAUCGUGUGAAGUGAUCGUGGGAAGUGACUUGUUGUCACUUCAUCUUAUCCUUUCACUCUGCAGGUGGCGGAACGUGGGUCAUGACAAACUGUUGUAAUAACGUGCAAGACUUACUUUACUUUAGUCAAUGAUCUGGGCAAACGUAUCCGGAUGACCUUUGUUGGUCGUCCGGAUGCAUUUGUGGAAGUCGCUCGGAUGUUUAAGCUUAUGAGUGUCGUGUGCCUCUUCUUGAAGUAGUCUGGAUAAGAGAAGCGUGCCACGUGUACUCUUGGGGAAAUCCGGAUGAGGUUAACCCGGAUGGGAAUGUGUGCCACGCGUCAUCAUGAGAUAUGUGCCACGUGUGGGAGGGGUCCUUGCACCCACCACAACUGCCCCCUUCCAACUUGACAUUUCUUAAUCAUCUUAAAGAUGUAAAUGCUUGGUUACUCGCUCCUGACUCCUGAGAGAGUUCUCAUCAGUCAUCAGUCAUCAGUUAUCAGUCGAAUUCUUUUACUUAUAUUUGUCUUCUUGUCCAUCUCUCCUGCAUUGGCCAAUGCAGCCUUAUCAUGGAUUUUGAAUGCUACUGUCACAGAUUGUUAGGCCUAAUUAAUAAUAAGCUGAUGUAGGAAUAGAAGUUUGGAAUAAGUAUAGGUAAGCUUGUUCUCAUGCGACCCUCCUCCAUGCCCUACUGAUAGGCGCAAUAGAUAUUAUAUGAAUUGUGGUGUCCUCAUGCAUACAAAUGCACCCUUUUUUUAUUGUUUUUUUUUUCCCUAAGACGUGGGCAUGGGGCCAAGGAGCAGCCAGCAGGAGAUGGAUCAGACCCAUUGAAUCUGUAAGCUACAGUGAAAGUCGGUGAGCAAUCCCUGCAUACUUGUUGCCUAAAAUACUUGAAAUUAAUAUUUUUCUGUUUCAUGCGUUAUUAAUUAUAGUCAAUAUUGGAAGGCAUUUUUAAUUAUUCAUGGUCACUAUGUGGUUGGGAAAGGCGCUACAAUAAUAUCCAAUUUUUGGACAAUUUGGUGGUCAUGAACUCUCAAUUUUCAAGAUUAGUACCAAGUAUGAAUUCUUAUAUAUUUUCUCUAUUUAUUAAACAUUUUGCUUGCUUCAUGUGCAGGCUAAGUGUUUAUUAUGCCAAUAUUUUGAUUAAAAAAUUUGCAUAUUUUACGUGCAUCUCUUGUUCAAUGUAAAUUUAUUGUGUCAAAAAUAUAUGGCCGGGGAGUUAUGAUGAUUUACUACUGAGUAGGAUAUGUUUUUAAAAUAGUGGGGGUUUCUGACUCUCAUGUUUGAGAAUUUUAGAUUAUUAUACAUUGACUUCAAUUUUCAAUCUAAGAUUUGAUUAUCUUAGAAUUGUUAAAUAAUUUUUACAUAAAAAUUAAGUUCAUUUAUAUAUAUAUAUAAAAUAAAAAUAAUUGUAAUAACCUAUAUCCAACGGUAAAGAUAUUACUCAUCUAUCAUGUAAAUAAAAAGGGUAAACAUAAUCGUGCUUUUUAUCUUAUAGGAUUAUAGAGUCAAACAAAUAAACACACAUCAUAGGAUCAAAUAAAUCCUCACACUAGGAUAAGGAUUAGCUUUAUACCAUUUUGUAAUAGUUCGCACCCAAUCGUGUAGAUAUUAUCUGUUUUGAAUUCAAAGAGACUCUCAAGACUUUAAAACAUGUUUACAAAAUUAAAAAGAGUUUAUAUAAUAUUAAAAACUUUUUCUUUUAUUUGAUAUGAGAUAUUACAAAUAAAACCAUGAAAACCCCUUUAAACUCAAAAUAGAUAGUAACUAUACGAUUAACAACGUAUCGUUACAAUAAUAGUGUCCUCCCCACCUUUUUUUUUGCUUAAAUUAAAAUAAAACUGGGUGAAAAGCUUACACAAUUUGGGAUAACCUUAUUAAUAAGAAGAUUAAAAGUUUGGUUAAAUAAUUUUAAUGUUAAAAGUGAGAGUGACAAAGGUACUAAUUUCAUGGUUAAAAUGACAAUUAAAUAACCGUGGCUCCAUAAAUAUUUUAUCUUUCAUGGAAUUAAUAAAGGGUAUAGCCGUGUGGGAGAGCAAUCCAUUUCCAUUCUUUCCUUAUUUACAAAUAAAUUUAUAAAUACAAUUUAAAACCUUUCCUAUAAAUUUCCAUUAGUUUUCCCAAAAUUUGGAAUGAAAAUAUCGAUGAAGGUGGGGAGCACGUUGAUGGACGAUUUUUUUCCUUAAAUUAUAAUUAUCUCAACUUUUGUUUUUGUCACGCGUUACCAAUAUAUAAAAUAGUGAAUAAAGGAGACUCCACAUAUAAAUUUUAAAAUUCAAAUGUAAUAGCCAUGAUUUAUCAUCCAAAUUUCGCUCAUGGAUCGUAAUCAUUGAAUUUUGGUGAAAAAGAAAAUGAUUAUUUCCAUAUUUAGAAUUUUAGAUUUAUGUUAUGAAAAUUGGGUUAUCUAUAUUUGUUUAUAUCACCAUGGAGGCUCGCACUCCUGAUUAUAAAUUGUACUCAUCGCCACUCUCCAAACCUUCACACCCUUCUUCUCUUUUCUCUCAGCUAUGGCGGUUUCCGCGUGUGUGGUUAGAACAAACCCAUCCAUCUCUCCAUGUCUGAAAGCUCCAAGGCCAAGCCUCAGUGGCAGAAAACAGGUGACCCCUCACAUUCUGUUGGCUGUUGCAGCCAUUUGGGUUUCAUGUCUUUGUGCAAUUUCUUUUUAUAUGUACAUAUACAUUAUUAUAUGAUAUUGUUGUUGUUUUUGGUUUUGGAUCAUUCAAAUGGUUCAUGUUUUGAUGAUUCUGAUGUGGGUUUGCUGCCAUGGUCAUGGUCAUGGUUAUGGACGGCGAAAUGGCUGUCGAUCCGGGAUGGUGUUUUACAGUCCUGCUUGAGAGCUUGUGCCGCAAAUACUUCAGAUGGUGAGGAAGGGAACAAGAUGACCAGAAAAGAAAAGGACGGAGGGUGGAAGAUAGAAUUCACCGGAGAAAAACCUCCCACACCACUACUAGACACAAUCAAUUAUCCAGUCCACAUGAAAAACCUCUCCACCCAGGUGAACUCAUCAAUCAUCAUGGCGGUCAUAUGAUUUUGUUCAAUGGGUUUCUCCCCUCCCAAUUCCCAACCAGAUUCAACAGCUUUCUCCUGUGUUUUUUAUGAAUUGUUUUUGGCUUUGUUCAUUUGGUGUUUCAGGAUCUUGAACAACUAGCAGCAGAGCUUAGAGCAGAUAUCGUACAGAGUGUAUCAAAAACAGGUGGGCAUCUAAGCUCAAGCCUAGGAGUAGUGGAACUGACAGUGGCUCUUCAUCAUGUAUUCAACACCCCCGAAGACAAGAUCAUAUGGGAUGUUGGCCACCAGGUGAGGAGAUUUACUUUCCAUACACAAUGAGAUGAAAGCAUGUGUUCAAUGUUUUCAGUUGACUGAUAUCUCUUGAAGCUUUACCCAGUAAGAUACAAAAUUCCAUUGUAGUUUCAAAAGUUUAUUUCCAUUCUCUUUGGCUUGGAAUUAAGAAUAUGAAAAUAAAAAUGCAACCUUUUGAAAUAUAAAGAAUCUCUCCAAAAGAUAAGAAGAAUUAGAUUUUCCUUAGAUUUGUUUUUUGUUUUUAGAAUGCGUAUCUAAGGUUAUUUCAUUUUCAUUGUUAGGUUCAAUCUUAUGAGAUGUGAUUUGUCUCAAAUUCCCUUUUUUUUUUUUGGGUUUUAAUUUGCAAGCUUCCACUUUAUAUGAUUAAUUUCAUUAUUAGUUUAUACUCAAUUGAUAUUAAUUUGCUUUAUUGAUUUGUUCACUCCUUUCUCAAUUCUACUUUGUUUGACAUAUUUUCUUCCUUUUUAUGUUUGAGUAUAUAAUUAGAUGAUACUAUUUUCACUUUAUCUAACAUAUUGUCCCAUCAUUUUUUUCUUUUUCUUUUGAAUUGAUUUUAAUGUUUCCCUUUAUUUGAUCCAAUUUUAUUUUUUACCUUACCAAUAAUUGUCAUUGUUCACUUCAUUUAAUAUUUUUUGUUGAUCAAAUAUAGUCUAUUAUUAAGAAUAACUUUAUUUGACUUAAUUUCUUCUUCAUCAUACUGAAUUGUAUUUUCUAAUUUGAUGAUCUUAAAAAACGCAAACUUUUGCACUCGCUUUUAUUUUGUUUUAUGCUUUCAUUUUAUUGAAAUUGUAGAUAUAUUUUGAGAUGGAGAUAGGUCUAAAGUUAAUAUUUGGUUGAGGAUAAGGAAUACUAUUGAGAAUAUAUACAUAGCUAUUCAAGUGUAUUAAGAGCCAAAUAAGAUCUCAAGUUGACUUUUUUGAUUGAGAAGGAGGAAUAUUUAUUAAAAGAAUAUUAUUGACUUCCUUGCAAAUUGGGAACCAUUUCUUGUCUUUGUAAAAGCAAAAGAUUGAGUUUCUUCUUGAUUUAUUUUCAUGGGCAUCCAUUGAGAUUUCCUUUUUAUUUCUAAAGCACAAUUUUCUAAUUAUUUUAUUUUAUUUUUUCUCUUUCACUCAAGUUAUGAACCAAAGCUGAAGUAGGUCCCAAAUAUGCUAUUUUUGAAAAUAUUAAAUCUGCUUUCACCAUGUGAGCCUACUAAGGAAGAUGUUGAAACUAUUUCAUAUUUGGAAUCUAUUGCUUCAAGGUUUAGUUUCCCUAAGAGUAUUUCCUUUCACAUUCAUGGAGUUAGAAAUGCUAUUUUUGAAGUCAAAUUAACUAUUUUGAUCAAGAGGGAGGAAGUCCUAUUUUAUAAAUCUCCUCUUUGGCAGAUGGAAGGGUUUGAUUCCCUCCUGACUGUUGUGAUUGACAUCAAAGAUCUCAUUUUAACUUAUUUGGUUUGAAUGGGUCUCACCCUCUUUAGUUCUAAUGGUUCAAUUUCCUUUUCAUCAGUUUUCUAUUUUUUACAUGCUUUUUUGACAUGGGACGAGUGUUAGACUAAUUGUUUGGGUUUGGUAGAUAUUUGAUUUUGAUGGCUCCAACUAACUAUUAGAUUAAAAGCCCGUUUGGUAGUGAUUUUAGGAAACGCUUCUAAUUUUUUUAAUAUUUAAAUGGUAGAAAGAUUAGAAAUGUUUUAUAGAAUCACUAUCAAACAUACUUUUAAAGUAAGGAAUCUUAUUGAGAAUUUUGAGUAAGAGAAAUACAUCUUGCAGGCCUACCCGCACAAAAUUUUGACAGGAAGGAGGUCUAGGAUGCACACUAUCAGGAAAACCUCAGGUUUAGCAGGAUUUCCCAAAAGGGAAGAGAGCGUCCAUGAUGCUUUCGGUGUGGGACAUAGUUCUACCAGCAUCUCCGCUGGUCUUGGUAUGUUUUUCCGUUCUCUUUUUUCAUCUAUUUUGAGCAUACCUCCUUCAAACAUUUCUGUAUUGCAUUAAUAUAGAAUCAACACAACUAUUCUUGAUUUUCUGAAGGCAGUAGAUGGUAGAAACUUACUUUGAACUCCUAUACUCAUUUACUUGUUUUGUUGAAAACAUCGAAACCAUUGUAGGUAUGGCAGUAGGAAGGGAUCUUCUAGGGAAGACCAACAGUGUUGUUGCAGUGAUUGGGGAUGGAGCCAUGACUGCAGGGCAAGCAUAUGAGGCAAUGAACAAUGCAGGGUACCUUGAUACUAACAUGAUUAUCAUAUUAAAUGACAAUAAGCAAGUCUCUUUGCCCACGGCUACUCUUGACGGUCCUGCAAUUCCUGUUGGGGCCCUUAGUAGAACUUUAACCAAGCUCCAAUCAAGCACCAAGUUCCGCAAACUUCGUGAAGCUGCAAAAGUGAGCCUUGAUGCCUUUCAUUUGUUGCUUCCCUCUUGUUUGGAUUCUUUCUAUAAUAUUUCAAAUUUAAGAUUGAUUCAACUUGGUUUUGACCUGUAAAAGAGCAUCACGAAGCAGCUUGGAGGGCAAACAUUCGAAGUUGCAGCCAAGGUAGAUGAGUAUGCGAGGGGUCUGCUCAGCGCUAGCGGAUCUACUCUGUUUGAGGAGCUAGGGUUGUAUUACAUUGGUCCAGUGGAUGGUCACAAUGUUGACGAUCUAGUAGGCAUUUUUCAGAAAGUAAAAGCAAUGCCUGCACCAGGUCCAGUUCUGAUCCACAUUGUAACAGAGAAAGGGAAGGGUUAUCCUCCAGCCGAAGCAGCAGCUGAUAGAAUGCAUGGUAAGACUGCAACUUUAUAAUCCCAUUGCAUUAUGAAGCAUAAUAAUUUUUCUAAUUCUCUCUUUCUCUCAGGGGUUGUCAAGUUCGACCCCAAGUCAGGCCAGCAAUUUAAAUCCAAAUCCCCAACACUUCCAUAUACUCGGUACUUUGCUGAAUCUCUGAUUGGAGAAGCCAAGGUAGAUGACAAAAUUGUAGCCAUCCAUGCUGCAAUGGGUGGUGGGACUGGCCUCAAUUAUUUCCAGAAAAGGUUUCCUGAUCGUUGCUUUGAUGUGGGGAUUGCUGAGCAACAUGCUGUCACAUUUGCAGCUGGUUUAGCCACAGAGGGUCUCAAGCCAUUCUGUGCCAUCUACUCAUCCUUCCUGCAGCGAGGAUAUGAUCAGGUGUUAAUGCAGAAAAAAUAAUAACAAAAAUGAGAUACAAUUUGCUUCAGUGUCAUUCUUUAUAAUAAUAAUAAUAAUAAUAAUAAUAAUAAUAAUAAUAAUAAUAAUAAUAAUAAUAAUAAUAGUAAUAGUCAUAACAAUUGAUGGCAAAGGUUUAUACUAACAGUUUUUAAUGGCUAUGAAGGUGAUACAUGAUGUAGAUCUUCAAAAGCUACCAGUCCGAUUUGCUAUGGAUCGAGCUGGUCUGGUUGGUGCAGAUGGCCCUACUCAUUGUGGAGCAUUUGAUAUCACCUAUAUGGCUUGCUUGCCCAACAUGGUGGUCAUGGCUCCAUCUGAUGAAGCAGAGCUUAUGCACAUGGUUGCCACAGCAGCAGCCAUUGAUGACAGGCCUAGCUGCUUCAGGUUCCCGAGGGGAAAUGGAAUUGGAGCUGUUCUUCCACCUGAUAACAAAGGAACCCCACUUGAGGUUAGCAUAAUAACUGACCAACUUGCAAAUAGGUAAAAACAAAAAGGCCGCCAAACUGAAAGUUACAUGUAAUGUCUUUUAUUGUUCCAUAGAUUGGAAAGGGAAGAAUACUGGCAGAAGGCCAUAGGGUUGCUCUUCUGGGAUAUGGUUCUAUAGUUCAGCAAUGUGUUGAAGCUGCAAGCAUUCUUAGGUCCCAGAAUAUUUUUGUGACAGUAGUGGAUGCGAGGUUUUGCAAACCUUUGGAUGGAGAUCUCAUCAGGAGAUUGGCCAAAGAGCAUGAAAUCCUGAUCACUGUGGAGGAGGGUUCAAUUGGAGGUUUUGGAUCCCAUGUGUCUCACUUCCUGUGCUUAAAUGGUAUAAUGGAUGGACCCCUAAAGGUAAUUUUCCUUCACAUUAGAAAUUUUAAACCUUGAAUAUCAAUACUUCAUGUCCUAAAUUCUCCUUUUCUGGAUUUUGAUUCUGCUGGAUGCUUCUUCUCAGUUGAGAGCAAUGGUACUUCCUGAUAGAUACAUUGACCAUGGAUCACCUGAAGAUCAGAUUCAAGAAGCAGGGCUCUCUUCCAAGCAUAUCUCAGCAACAGUGCUAUCUCUCUUGGGAAGGCAAAAAGAAGCUCUCACCCUCAACCGAAUGCAUAUAUGAAAAGCAAGACUCCAUUCUACAAGUUUUGAAAUCCAUUCACUUCCUCAAAAGGUUUUGUUCUAGUUUUUCAGGAUGAGAAAAAAUACCAAGAUUCCGAUCCAAAAGCUCAUGCUUGGGAUUCCAAAAUACCAGGAUCUAGAACUCCUUGAAGAAUUUAUCCCAGCAUCUAAUCAACACACAACAUUGAUUAGGAAUUCUGGAGGUCAAGCCAUAAUCUGUGUUUGUGCAUAUUAUCUAUAUCCCAAUGUAAUGGAUACCAUAUCAGACAUGAAAUUUGGUAAAGUAUCAAAAGAAACAAGAGAAAAAGUUUUCGUGAAGGAAAUCUGUAUCCUCUUCAUGUUUUCUGUUUGUUUUAAUUUAGAAUCAUUGACCAGUUUGUAAGGAAUUUAGUCGUAUAAACCCCAUACCAAUUUGCAUUCCCACCUUUCUCAAAUUCUGAGAAAGGUGUCUCAUGAAUAGAUGUGCUAAUAAAUUGAUAAAUUAUGAGAGACCGUUAUGGUUGGUGCAUCAGUCAAGGGCUAUGUGCACAUGAAGAGCCCUCGAAUGAGAUAAAGACCUCAUGAACAAAUUCGCCAAUAACCACCAUGGGAAUUCAGUCCAUUUAUGAAAUGACGAAAGAUCAUUGCAUCUCUAGCAAUUACCUCUCUUCCAACACGUAUGGAGACAAAUUUUGUAAUACCUAGCACUAAUGAAUUAAAUAGGCAACAAUGAUUAUCUUAGUACUUAACUUUAAACGUGCUUAAUUAAAUGUUAAAACUAGUUUAGUGCUAAUAUUGUUUAAUUAUGAAUUAAACUUUGAUUAAGGUUAAGUGAGAUUAGUUAAUGACUUAAACAUGCUUAUUAGGUUCUUAUGGGCUGAUUAGAGUUUUGAAAACCUAAAGGACCAAUGGGCAAUUGUAAGUUUAAUAUUGGUUAAUUUGGAGGACUAAAGUGCAAUUAUGGAAAGUUGGGGUUGGUGGUAGCGAUGUGGCCUGCCACCUCCUACUUGGUUGCAUGGAGACCCCUUUGUAAGGGCUUGCAACUCAUUUUGCACCAUUUCACCGGUAAUAGCUUGGGUUAGAGAGAGGAUCUAGAGAGAGAAAGUGAAGAUUUGAGGUAAGCAAGUUGUUUAAUUUAGUAAUUUUGGUUUAUUUUAGUUCAUAAUGGUAUGUUGAAACAAAUUAAAGGUAAAAUUUGUGCAAAAGUUGAGUGUAAUUAGCUAAAAACAUGUUUUUAGUUAAAGAUCACAAUUAAUUAAGGAUUAAAGUGUUUUAGCUUAAGUAUUUUAUUAAUAGUAAGAUUAGCAUAAAUCUUUGUUUAGUUUGGUUUGAUUGAAAAAUAGAUUAGUAAAUAUGUAAUUAAUUAGGUUAUUUGGACACUUGGGAUUUGUUAUUGGGCUAGACUUUAAGAAAAUCAAAACAAUUAGUGUUUGGUAAUUAAUUAGGGAAUAUUAUUAUGCAUUGUAAAUAUUGUUUAAUUCAAUUUAAAUUUGAUUUGAAAACCUGUGGGCAUGUAGAUUAGAGAAUAUUAGAAUUGAAAAUUAGCAACAAUAAAUUGUAUAAAUUUUCAUAAUUAGGAAAUCUAAAUUAUGUGUUUCAUUUCAGUUCCUUGUAAUAGGUAAAGAUCGCCUACAUAGAAGAAUCACAAAGGGAAAGUCCGUGUAAGGUAGAGAAUUUUAUGUUGUUCUAUGGUGUACUUGAUUUCUUUCCUUGAAACAUUUAUGAGAAUUUCAUGUCAUUUCUAUGAUUUCAUAAAAUGUUUAAAUGUGUCAUUGCAUCUCAGUUUAUUAUAUUGAAAUGUUACAACGAUAUUAGAACGUAUAUUGGUAUGAAGAUUCAUGGUUCUGUGUUGCGAAAAUUAUUCAUGGUGUGGUUGCAUUGCAAGAAGGAUAUGGAAUAAUCACAUAUGAUAUUCAGAGAAUUGAUUGGUGGGAAGUGUUUAUGUGAUGCUACAAACAUUAUCCUUUGAUAUAUUAUUUAUGUGGAACCGUGGGUCAUUGGGUGAAAGUCCCUAAAGUCCUCGAGGAAGACACUCUGAUGUGGGUGUAUGGGGUUGGUCCUACCCCUGGGUUUUAGUCCCUAAAGACAUGGGGUUGGUCCUACCCUUGGGUAUGAGUCCCAAAAGACAUAGGGUAUGACUUGCCCUUAGGUGAUGUUCCAGAAUAGUCAUUAUUAUAUUGACCGAGUAUCUUGUGGAGCAUUGAUAUCUGAUAUGUAGAUUGGUGGGGGUUAGCAGUUUAUCAGUUGUAAAAGGAUGGAUGAGGAAAAGCAAAGAUGAAACCAACAAACACAUGCAUACAUGUUUGACAUGAUUACAUAUUUGUUAAUGAUUAUAAAACGUUUAUCAUGCAUGCUAUUAUACGUUUAAUUCAAGGUUUUAACGAUAUGCUUAGGAUGAUUAUAAACUUUCCUACUAAGUUGUGAACUCACCCUAUCCCUUCCAUCUUUAGAUGCAGGUCAGAAGACCUAUGCUAGAAAUAAUGCUUGAGCAUUACUUUAUGGUUGAUUGGAUGUUGUUUGCUCGCAUUGAAAGUGUUUUGAGGGUUUGCCUUUGUAUUAAAGACUAAAUCUUUUUGAAGUAAUGAUAUAAUGUAAAUUUGUUAUGUACACUUGUAGUAUGAGCUACCCAUGCUGAACCAUGGGAUUUUGGUAUAUGUAAAUUAACAUAGUACAAGUUUCUUUUGUGAAAUGAAUCAUAUUUUGUUAAGUAAUAGUUAUAAAGUUUAAUACAAGAUGUACUCUUUAUAACAGGUUUUGCAUAUUCUCUUUUUGCACAAAAUCAAGUAGGAACUCAACAUUUAAAUUUUUGUAUCCCCAUAUUUUUUUUAGAUCACUUAUACUGUAUUUGAGUAUCAAUUGUUAAGUUUGAAAAAAAACCAAGGUGUGACAAAUUUCAUCCAAAGAGACUCUUAAGGUUCUGGGGUAUUUUGGUAUAGGAUUCAUCUAAUUGAUUCUCUAUUAAGCAAAGUGUCAUAGACUUAGUAUUUUAGAGACUUGGACAACACAAGACACUUUUGCUAAGUCAACCUUCCACAAAUUAUGGACAGUGACAAAUUUCAUACCAUAGACUCUUAAGGUUCUUGAGAAUCCUUAUACUAGUGUAUCCUUAAAACGACUCAUCUUCAGAGCAAAGUGUCAUGGAUUUAGGUGUUUUUCAAGCAUCCAUGCGACACUUAGAUAACUCAAAACACUUAAAAGUUGAUAAGUCAGUCUUCCCUUGAUUUAGCUUGCUAUGUUAAGCAAUGCUUGUGAUAUGAAAGUUAUAGAUACAUAAAUGAAGCCACACUUAAGACAUUACUAUGUUAAUUAGUGCUACAUGACAUGAAAGUUAGAAAUACAUAAAGAAAGCAACACUUCAGAGAAUUUAAAAUAAUGAAAGCAUGCAUUACACAAGAAUACUUUAUAAGCCUUGAAAUCUCUCAAGUGUUUGAUGUGUUGGGUGAAUAGGAUCAUCACCUCUUUAGGAGCAUAUGUGGAAUUCUUUGGAAUGUUUAAUGCUUCCUACAAUUCUAAAUCAAUAUUCUAUAUACAAAUCAUAUACAAGAGUUUGCAAAAACAUUUUAGGAUACUUCACACAACUUUAAGGACUUCUACCCAUUUGGGCAGGGUGUGACAAAAGGUUAUAGUUAGCCUUUCAGACAUUUUUUUUCCGUCCACUUAUCCAAGUC
RNAcentral lists this long non-coding RNA (32183 nucleotides) under Vitis vinifera (wine grape). RNAcentral describes it as "long non-coding RNA (VVIN_LNC007350)". Lineage: Eukaryota; Viridiplantae; Streptophyta; Magnoliopsida; Vitales; Vitaceae. The record is from RNAcentral.